ACCACAAUCCCAUAAUGAUACCGA
This 24-nucleotide non-coding RNA is filed under the name Arabidopsis thaliana (thale cress). The record is from RNAcentral. Lineage: Eukaryota; Viridiplantae; Streptophyta; Magnoliopsida; Brassicales; Brassicaceae.